AUUGAACGCUGGCGGAAUGCUUUACACAUGCAAGUCGAACGGCAGCACGGACUUCGGUCUGGUGGCGAGUGGCGAACGGGUGAGUAAUGUAUCGGAACGUGCCCAGUCGUGGGGGAUAACGUAGUGAAAAUUACGCUAAUACCGCAUACGAUCUAUGGAUGAAAGCGGGGGAUCGCAAGACCUCGCGCGAUUGGAGCGGCCGAUAUCAGAUUAGGUAGUUGGUGGGGUAAAGGCCCACCAAGCUAACGAUCUGUAGCUGGUCUGAGAGGACGACCAGCCACACUGGAACUGAGACACGGUCCAGACUCCUACGGGAGGCAGCAGUGGGGAAUUUUGGACAAUGGGCGAAAGCCUGAUCCAGCCAUUCCGCGUGCAGGAUGAAGGCCCUCGGGUUGUAAACUGCUUUUGUACAGAACGAAAAGGUUUCUACUAAUACUAGGAGCUCAUGACGGUACUGUAAGAAUAAGCACCGGCUAACUACGUGGCAGCAGCCGCGGUAA
This 500-nucleotide ribosomal RNA is filed under the name uncultured bacterium. RNAcentral describes it as "partial 16S ribosomal RNA". It matches the Rfam family "Bacterial small subunit ribosomal RNA", at positions 30 to 523 of the family's 1533-position model. The record is from RNAcentral.